AAUCAUUAAUAGUUAGUUAUAGAUACCUGCAUAAUUUUGCUACUAUCAUACUAAAUGCACAGAUAACACAUACAUACAAGUUGACAAAUUUUAUUUCGGAACAGGUACCUACAUUAGUAUAUGCAUUAGUACUCCUAAAUCAAUAUAACAUAAAUAUAAAAGUGCUCAAAAAAAUGUUUGUUCGAUAAUACUAGUACCCUAAACGGAAACGGAAAUACGUAUAAACGAGUUUUAAAAGUUUCCAUUCAUAAAAGGUACACAUUUUAUCACAUCCCACAACAUAAGAGUACAAUGGCAUUUAAUGCUCUAAAAUUGGUGUUUUAUACGUUGAUAGUGCAUAUUAUUGUUCCAGACAUUCCAAGUAAAGUUACAACAACGUUCGGAUCAACUAAUGAAAGAAGUAAGUUUAAUAAUAUCGUAAACGAAUUUCAGACAAAAUAUAAUCUCAAUAAAGGGGCAGAGAUUAUUACCAAGCAUCAAAAUAAACGUUUCGGCCAAAUACCUGGAGAAUUUAUCACUUUAGAAAUCGAUUUACUUCUAAUAUUACAGCAAAUGGCCUACAUGUAUGAUAAAAGAAGUGAAAGUGGACUUAUGUAUGAGGACUAUUUUUUAAAGAUCUGCUCAAUUCUUNUUAAUAAUAUCGUAAACGAAUUUCAAACAAAAUAUAAUCUCAAAAAAAGGGCAGAGAUUAUUACCAAGCAUCAAAAUAAACGUUUUGGCCAAAUACCUGGAGAAUUUAUCACUUUAUAAAUCGAUUUACUUCUAAUAUUACAGCAAAUGGCCUAAAUGUAUGAUAAAAGAAGUGAAAGUGGACUUAUGUAUGAGGACUAUUUUUUAAAGAUCUGCUCAAUUCUUCCAAGAUGUUUGGAUUUUAUCAAUAUAAAUGUCUUUCAGAAUUCAAUAACAGUUCUUUUGAAUAAAAUUCAUAUCGUUCUUUGUUAUUCAUUACCAACCUAUUUCAAGACAUAUAUCAAUGCGUCACCUUAUAAUAUCGAAAACGAAAUUUUUGAUAAAAAAAUUAAGAGAAAUUUGGCCUCUAUAAUAUUAAUGACAGAAAUUAAGACAAAUAAUAGUGACAAACUGUUUGAGCAACCGAAUUACACAAGUGACAGUAUAAAUUUUAUUCUAAAUGUUUACGAAACCAUUAGUAAUGUCGAUUUUUUAUCAUGUAUUAGUGAAAAUCUCGGUAAACUAAAGCAGCAUUAUGAUGAACAUAAAUUGCAUACUAACCAAAAAAAAUUCAAGGUGACUGAAGUAAUUACCAGAGACAAUGAAAUGCAAAUAAAUUCUGAAAACAAUGUAUAUUUUCUGGAACUCAAUAAAAAUAUGUAGAUGAACUUCGGAAAAAAUGCGGCUUAUCAUAUUUUGAAAUUCAGUCACAAGAUUUGUCAAACUUAAAAGCAAUUUUUUAUUAUACAUUAAAGAGACUUCAACAUUAUUUUACAAAUUCUAUUUUGAACGGUUCAGAGAAACUUUCACGAGCAACCGAAAAUGAAAUGGAGGAGACGUACAAUCUGAUGGACACGUUAAAUAAAAUGUGUCAGAAAAUCUCUUUGAUUCUAGUCUAUUUAAAAGAAAGUGAGGUUAACGACGACUCGAUAAUAUUCAGCUUGUAUUUGACGUUUUGCGGAGACUUCAAGGGAUACACUGACAUCCGUUGCACCAAUGUAUUUCACGGUACUGCAGCAAAUAAGAGUCUCAAAGCCGUGAAACCUAAUUGUACCCGAUAAACGGUGAAAAAUAUUUGGACGUGGAAUAUAUUUAUGACCACAAUUAAAGUCCCGAAAAAAAGUGGAAACAAAUAUUUAACCGAAAAUUGUAAAAUUUUGUACAUGAAUUAUUUGAAGAAUAUCCACAAUACUAUAAAACAAUUUUAUAAAGGAAUCGGUGUUUGGACCANUCUGUAGGGAAUUUUCAUAAUGUGGUUGUACAACAUUUAGACAGUACAAUGAAUACUUUCGUUUACAAAUAUGCGCAAAUUAUAGAUUUGUACUCAGAACGCAUAGGUAUUAACGUCGAAGCUAAUGAUAACUUUUUUGUCGACCGUAGAGAAGUCUAUGGACAUAAAUUUCGAAUCCCAUUCUGCUACUACUAUGUACUCACAGUACUGUCCGGAAAAUAUAUUUGAUAUUAAAUCCGCUAUCAAGCUUAUGAGCGUAGUUAGAGACAAGCAAAAUAAAAGAGAGGCCGGUUCUCAAAGCGUAGUCAUUGGUUCGAGUUCACCUGGAAAUAAAUCAAAUGUUAAGACUCUUUUGAUGGGUUUCCUUAAACUUCAAUAGAAAAGUUAGUGUGAACCUAGUAUUAAUUUUUUUUAUGAAUUUAAUAAAUUUAUGUUUAUUAUAUAUUUUGAUAAAAAUUAUUCAUAGUUAGUAUGUCCUUUUAACGUGUUUAUUGUGUUCAUCUAUAUCAACCUUAAAUAUAGUUACAAUUUUAAAAAUUAAAUGAACAAUACAAAUAUACUUUUUAUGUAUAGCAAAUGUAUUAUGCUACUAUUAUUUGUAACUGAUUACAAAAUGUUAUGUUUUUUUUUUCUGUAUACAAAUUGAUGAUAUAGUUUUGCGAAAUUAGCGGUUUAUACUUUUAUUUAUGUGUAUUUAUUUUAAAAUUUGGGUUUUAUUAUUCAAACAAUAAAUAGCAAUAUAAUUAAAAUAAUUAGUUCGUUCUAGUUUAGUAAUAAACGUAGUAAAAUUUUUUUAUUAUAUUAUGUAGAUAAUUGUUUUUCUAUAUUGUAAAAUUUUGUCCAUCAUUUUUUGGUAUUGUGAUUAUUUUCCCUGACUAGUUGAAACACUGCGAGAAAACAUUGGUAGUACGAUAAAAAUUUCUCUGAUGGAUAUGUUUUUGAAAAGUACUGCUAACAAUUUUAUGCCAAAUUCGCGUUACUCGGUUAUUGGUUAUUACGGCGUUUUUACCUAUAGUAUUGGAAACACUUAUGUUGGCCGACAUGUCAGUUUACUAAAUCGG
RNAcentral lists this long non-coding RNA (2961 nucleotides) under Cinara cedri. The record is from RNAcentral. Lineage: Eukaryota; Metazoa; Arthropoda; Insecta; Hemiptera; Aphididae.